Molecule: ribosomal RNA, 1343 nt
Filed under: uncultured bacterium
Lineage: Bacteria
Description: 16S ribosomal RNA
Rfam family: Bacterial small subunit ribosomal RNA
Source: RNAcentral
GACGAACGCUGGCGGCGUGCUUAACACAUGCAAGUCGAACGGAAAGGCCCUGCUUUUGUGGGGUGCUCGAGUGGCGAACGGGUGAGUAACACGUGAGUAACCUGCCCUUGACUUUGGGAUAACUUCAGGAAACUGGGGCUAAUACCGGAUAGGAGCUCCUGCUGCAUGGUGGGGGUUGGAAAGUUUCGGCGGUUGGGGAUGGACUCGCGGCUUAUCAGCUUGUUGGUGGGGUAGUGGCUUACCAAGGCUUUGACGGGUAGCCGGCCUGAGAGGGUGACCGGCCACAUUGGGACUGAGAUACGGCCCAGACUCCUACGGGAGGCAGCAGUGGGGAAUAUUGCACAAUGGGCGGAAGCCUGAUGCAGCAACGCCGCGUGCGGGAUGACGGCCUUCGGGUUGUAAACCGCUUUCGCCUGUGACGAAGCGUGAGUGACGGUAAUGGGUAAAGAAGCACCGGCUAACUACGUGCCAGCAGCCGCGGUGAUACGUAGGGUGCGAGCGUUGUCCGGAUUUAUUGGGCGUAAAGGGCUCGUAGGUGGUUGAUCGCGUCGGAAGUGUAAUCUUGGGGCUUAACCCUGAGCGUGCUUUCGAUACGGGUUGACUUGAGGAAGGUAGGGGAGAAUGGAAUUCCUGGUGGAGCGGUGGAAUGCGCAGAUAUCAGGAGGAACACCAGUGGCGAAGGCGGUUCUCUGGGCCUUUCCUGACGCUGAGGAGCGAAAGCGUGGGGAGCGAACAGGCUUAGAUACCCUGGUAGUCCACGCUGUAAACGGUGGGUACUGGGUGUGGGGUCCAUUCCACGGGUUCCGUGCCGUAGCUAACGCUUUAAGUACCCCGCCUGGGGAGUACGGCCGCAAGGCUAAAACUCAAAGGAAUUGACGGGGCCCCGCACAAGCGGCGGAGCAUGCGGAUUAAUUCGAUGCAACGCGUAGAACCUUACCUGGGUUUGACAUGGAUCGGGAGUGCUCAGAGAUGGGUGUGCCUCUUUUGGGGUCGGUUCACAGGCGGUGCAUGCCUGUCGUCAGCUCGUGUCGUGAGAUGUUGGGUUAAGUCCCGCAACGAGCGCAACCCUUGUUCACUGUUGCCAGCACGUUAUGGUGGGGACUCAGUGGAGACCGCCGGGGUCAACUCGGAGGAAGGUGGGGAUGACGUCAAGUCCUCAUGCCCCUUAUGUCCAGGGCUUCACGCAUGCUACAAUGGCUGGUACAGAGAGUGGCGAGCCUGUGAGGGUGAGCGAAUCUCGGAAAGCCGGUCUCAGUUCGGAUUGGGGUCUGCAACUCGACCUCAUGAAGUCGGAGUCGCUAGUAAUCGCAGAUCAGCAACGCUGCGGUGAAUACGUUCCCGGG